AUGGUCGCGAUCCGGACCGAGCUGACGAAGCUGGGAGCAACGGUGGAGGAAGGCCCGGACUACUGCAUCAUUACGCCACCGGAGAAGCUGAACGUCACGGCCAUCGACACCUACGACGACCACCGGAUGGCGAUGGCCUUCUCCCUGGCGGCCUGUGCCGAGCUGGGAGCAACGGUGGAGGAAGGCCCGGACUACUGCAUCAUCACGCCGCCGGAGAAACUGAAUGUCAUGGCGAUCGACACCUAUGACGACCACCGGAUGGCGAUGGCCUUCUCCCUGGCGGCCUGCACCGAGGUGCCAGUCACCAUCAGGGACCCCGGGUGCACCCGAAAGACCUUCCCCAACUACUUUGAUGUGCUAAGCACCUUCAUGAAGAACUAG
This 381-nucleotide ribosomal RNA is filed under the name Triticum aestivum (bread wheat). Its description in RNAcentral is "partial small subunit ribosomal RNA". The record is from RNAcentral. Lineage: Eukaryota; Viridiplantae; Streptophyta; Magnoliopsida; Poales; Poaceae.